AGAUUGAACGCUGGCGGCAUGCCUAACACAUGCAAGUCGAACGGGAGUAGCAAUACUCUAGUGGCGGACGGGUGAGGAAUACGUAGGAAUUUGCCCUUAAGUGGGGGAUAACCCGGGGAAACCCGGAUUAAUACCGCAUGACCUCGAAAGAGCAAAGUGGGGGAUCGCAAGACCUCACGCUUUUGGAGAAGCCUACGUCGGAUUAGCUAGUUGGUGAGGUAAUGGCUCACCAAGGCGACGAUCCGUAACUGGUCUGAGAGGAUGAUCAGCCACACUGGGACUGAGACACGGCCCAGACUCCUACGGGAGGCAGCAGUAGGGAAUAUUGGACAAUGGGCGCAAGCCUGAUCCAGCAAUGCCGCGUGAGUGAUGAAGGCCGUUA
This 382-nucleotide ribosomal RNA is filed under the name uncultured soil bacterium. Its description in RNAcentral is "bacterial SSU rRNA". It matches the Rfam family "Bacterial small subunit ribosomal RNA", at positions 26 to 420 of the family's 1533-position model. The record is from RNAcentral.